Micropterus dolomieu (smallmouth bass) is the source of this 1222-nucleotide long non-coding RNA. RefSeq lists it as uncharacterized. The record is from RefSeq and is a predicted model, not a curated record. The transcript has 2 exons. NCBI's taxonomy places the organism in Eukaryota, Metazoa, Chordata, Actinopteri, Centrarchiformes, Centrarchidae.
CUAUCACCUUGAAAAAAUGAAUCACUGACAAAGUGAUUGUCCUCCUCUUUCUCGUGGACAAUGAGGCAGACGGAGUGUCACAAUUGCAAGUUCCUGAGACGUGUUUUCAGAUCAGAGGAGGGAGAAAAGUGGACAGGUCUCAAUAACAGAAGAUGACUUGGUCUGAAAGUCGUGACUCCAAAAUGGCUCAGAAGAAGAGCUGGUCACCUCUGGGAGAUGCUGUCCUGUCCCGCCGUCUCACAUCACCUCUAUCGAUACUGCGAUGGCCAUCACCGUCGGUGCCUUAAGCUACUCCGCAAUCUCUCAAACGCCACCUCCUCCUCAGCUCCCAAAUCCCUUCCACAUCAUCCUUCAAUCUUCAUCCUCCUGCUCCCCUGGCUUAUCGAUUUUCUAUUUUCCCUUUUAUUCCCCUCCUCUCCCAUGUCCUCCAGCUCUCUCCAUCUUCUCAAACGCUCUUCCAACAGUUCAGCCUGUCUCUGAGGUUUUUUAAUUCCGUUUUUUAUCUCUCUCACUCUCUUACUCUGGUCAGAGUUUCUCCUCUUUGACAAGGUCGAAGCCCCAGCCACGCACGGAGCUGCUUAAGCCCUGUAGCCUUGUUAAGCCCCUGUCCCGUCCUAGGAUGGAUCGCUGCUAGUUCCUGUGUCCCAUCAGUGGUGACCUUCAGCGGGACUCUGAUGCAGUGGGAUAUCACCCAGCUUGGAAGCACCAGACGGGCCACCGCUAAGGCAAGGACGCAACCGCUGUGGAUCUAUCACACAAACAAACGGCCGCUUCCUCGUGGAGCGACGCAGGAAUACAUCAAACUCCAACACAACAGCAGGUCACUUCUGCAGGUGUUCUGCACAUCGACUCUUUCUUCACACAGGAACAAAAGAUUGGCAAUCUAAAAUUUUGUGAAAUUUGCGGAAAGGUCAUGCUUCAUCCAUAAGAUGAGUAUGUUUCAUUACUCGGAACGGAUUGGGUGGAGAGGAGACAUGGCUAUACAGCAAUAAGUAAAAAGAAAGUGAGGAGGUGGUGGGUGGAGACAUUCACCUUCAACUCCGACAAAGCAGGUUCAAGCACCAACUUAUGACACUAAUUUGCAGCUGGACGGGUAGUUUGUAUUAAACCUUAGACAAGACAUCAUUGAGUCUAAAACUUAAAAUCUUAAUCAAUAAACCAGCAUUGUUUUCUUAAAUUUCACCAUUACCAACGCAGAAAAGAGCAACAGAACACAUAAAAU